Molecule: ribosomal RNA, 348 nt
Filed under: Bacillus cereus
Lineage: Bacteria; Bacillati; Bacillota; Bacilli; Caryophanales; Bacillaceae
Description: bacterial LSU rRNA
Rfam family: Bacterial large subunit ribosomal RNA
Source: RNAcentral
ACUGAAACAUCUAAGUACCCUGAGGAAAAGAAAUCAACCGAGAUUCCCUUAGUAGUGGCGAGCGAACGGGGACUAGCCCUUAAGUUGCUUUGAGAUUAGCGGAACGCUCUGGAAAGUGCGGCCAUAGUGGGUGAUAACCCUGUACGCGAAAAUCUCUUAGUCAUGAAAUCGAGUAGGACGGAGCACGAGAAACUUUGUCUGAAUAUGGGGGGACCAUCCUCCAAGGCUAAAUACUACUGACUGACCGAUAGUGAACUAGUACCGUGAGGGAAAGGCGAAAAGAACCCCGGAGAGGGGAGUGAAAUAGAUCCUGAAACCGUAUGCGUACAAGCAGUGGGAGCCUACUUU